RNAcentral lists this long non-coding RNA (2167 nucleotides) under Lactuca sativa (garden lettuce). Its description in RNAcentral is "long non-coding RNA (LSAT_LNC006240)". The record is from RNAcentral. Lineage: Eukaryota; Viridiplantae; Streptophyta; Magnoliopsida; Asterales; Asteraceae.
CGGAACUUAUGCCAGAAAUGUAAAAGAUCAGCAUCACGCUGGUUGACAGAUUUGGGUGAUUUAUAUAUCGAGUUUUCUUCAGUAAAAGUGAAGUUUUCAUUUGCUGGAUUGGUGCCCAUAUAUAAGUAGAGGCUAUCUUGGCUAAGUGGUAAGUCACCAUAUUGCAUCACAUGGGAUCCAUAAUAAGAGUUGUCACUUGAUGUUCUUUCUUUAACCUAAAAUAAAUAAAUAAAAAUGAAUCAUGUGUAAAAAAAAAGUUUACCAAAGUGUAUAAAUUAGUAAAAUAACUUUACCAAUUUAUAUUGCUGUCUGAUAGUUUCUGUUCGCAGAUUGUGUACAUCACUGUAAGCAACAAGAGAGAUAGAAAGAAUUAGUUUUCUUUUAGUAAAAAGGGUAUAACUGUAAAUUUUAAAAACAUACCAAUCUUCCAUCCAGGCAACACUGUACAGGUCACCAAGACACGUGUCAUACUCUAGAGGUGGGCUAGGGUACUCCCCAGGACAGUAGGUACCCCAGCUGCUUUCAUCAGGGCCAGAGGCUGUGGUUGCAUAGAUAUUUAAACCUUGUGGAAGAAGACCCUCGAAUAUACUUCCAGCCUCACAAGCUUCAAGGUAAAACACCUGAACAUUUUUAAAAAAUCAGGAUUAAUAUCUAUCAAGUAUAUAUAUUUAUACAUAAUAUGAAAACAAGUUUUUUAAAAAAUUACCAAGCUUUUGUAUGUUCCAGACGCAUGCUUUUGUUUCAAGACCUCGUUAAGAUCAUUUGCAUACAUGUAAGGAUUUGUUGGCAUCCCUGAGAAAGAAUACAAAAUAAUUUAAUUUUACCUUUAUGCCCUUCUUUUAGCCUCUAUGAAAAAAUGGUUGUUAGGGUAAAUAGUAACUUACCAAGAACACCAGGACCACCAUGAUCGGUGUAGUAAACAAAAAUGCGAUCAUUUGGACCGCUAUCUACAACCUUUCCACUUCCACCUUUGACUUUGGAUUUAUCACCGAGUAAAACAGCAAAAAAGUUGUCAACAUUCACAUCUUUCCCAGUGUAAUCCUGUUUCAUUUUAGUUUUUCAAUUAUAUUAUGAUCUCAUAAUAUAUAUGAUAUUGUGAAUGGAUGAUGAUAAAAAAAAAAAAAAAAAAAAAAAAAAAAAAAACAAACCUUGGGUACUCCAUGAUAAACGUCAUCACCAUCUGGGCUGUUGAUUAUGACACCUUGUCUGGGAUUCUCUCUAUUAUAUGCAAUGUCGUCAUACAUGAAAACAACAAUGUUUUCUUCCUUCACACCACCGUUUCUUAAGAUUUGAUAUGCAUGACAUACAUCUGCCUGGAGUCAUUAACAUAAAUAGAAAAGAUUUAAAUACAAGUGAGGCUUGUAAUUUCUCAAGGACAAAUAUAGAAAAGUGAAAGCUUCAAUGAGGUCAUCCUAUUGCAUACAGUAACAAACUAACUUUCUUGAACCACAUACAAACAAGGGAAAAGUUUAGUUGAUCUUGUAUAAAAGUUGACUUCAUACACUAAGAAGCUUGUUGAAAGCAAAAUAAGGAGGUUUUUAUUUCUUAGAUUAAAUGAGCAAAUGGAUCUCAAGAUUUGAUGAUUUUUAUCUGGGAAUUUGUUUUUUUGUAUAGCUUCCAUAAUUCCUAAAAGGUAAGGUUCCAUGAUCAAACCAUGUUUAAAUUUAUAUAAAGACAAGCAACUUGCUAGCAUAGAGACAGAGUUCAAAUAAUUACUUACCGGAAUCCACAAAAACUUUUCAAAUGUUCAAUCAAACAAAAUACAUAAUCGGACAAAAGUAAGCAGUAAAUAACUUGUUAAAAAUCAAUCAUUAUGAAUCCCCUAACCUUGCUCAAGCACAGUUCCUGCUGACCCCAGACAAAAUUUUGACUGAAUAUUCCUUUAACACGUUACUUUUCUAAGUCGAAUUGAAUGCUUUAUGCUCCCCAAGGAAAAAAUUGAUAUCUAUAUGGAUUCAGUAACAAAUCUAACAGAAUCAUCAUCCUUAUGUUAGAUAUAAUUAGAAAAUUUUCUGAUUAAAUUUGAAGAAUUAAAGUUUGUGGCUCUUCUGGAACAGGUAGAGUAAGUAACGACGACGACAAACUGAUCGUAAUUCGUAACCUAUCAAGGAAAAACUAAAAAUGCAAAAUUCAAGCAUUUAAUAUCCUGUUUACUACGAUUACCUGA